GGGAGCUCUUUGGUUUUUCCUGGGAGUUAAAGUAAAGAUUUACCUCCUCUUAAUUUUUCCAGUGGGUGGUAAACAAACUUCUCUAAGCCUCUUCUGGUAAGGGCUUCCGAGAUAGUUUUUACAUGCAGGAAGAGAGAACAAGUGCAGGCAACGUCCAAGGUCCUCUUGUUUUGCAGAUCACUGCACAACAGACCCUCAGGUAGAACAAGUUUAGAUAGUGACUCUUAACCAAAGUACAAGUUAGCAUCACCUGGAAGACUUUACUAACCAUGGUUGGCUGAGAGUCUGUGGGAGCAGAAGAGGAAACUGAGGCUUUAGAGAACUGUAGCACAUUGGCAAGGACAUCCAGCUCAUAAACAAUCCAUCAGAAAAGUGAGGUCACUGAGCAACCCACCACCCAAAACCUGGACAGACAGAGAAAUACAGAAGCAUGGCUUACAGAGAGCAGAAGCAGCUGCUGGAGCCACCAUCUGGUAGAAACACUUCAGGGAUGAGAAAACAGUGACCUGGAGACAGUUAUUUCACCAACAGAAGCUGGAUCUCUAAUAAAAAGACUAUGGGCUGCUGCAACUCUAGGAAUGGAAGCUUCACAUCUACCAUCUACUGCUUGCUGCAUACCCCACUGCAUCGGUCACUGAGGCGCCCAAUACCUGAGGAAUUGAAAUCAACAUUAUGUUAAGAUGCGGGAGCUCUCAGAGAACAUGCAGCCACUCUUAGGAAGUACAAGAGGACUGGAGGGGGAGUCCUAUAGACUGAAUGCUUCCAUCCCCCCCGCCGGAAUCAUAUGUUGAAAUUCUAAUCCUCAACGUCAUGGUAUUAAGAGGUGGGGCUUUUGGGAGGUGGUGAGGUCCUGAGGGUAGUGCCCUCCUCCAUGAAAUUAGUACCUUUAUGAAAAGAGACAGGAGAAAGCUUGCUUCUUUUGUCUCUUCUCUCCCAAGUAAAGACACACCAGAGGAGAGUCAUCUGCCAACCCGGAAGAGGGCCCUCACCAGAACCUGACCAUGCUGGCACCCUGAUCUCAGGCUGCCCAGGCUACAGAACUGUGAGAAAGAAUUCUGUUGUAUAAACCACCCAGGCUAUGGUAUUGGCAAUAGCAGCAUGAGCAGCAUAAAAUAGGGCAGGUUCAAGGCCUUUACCUAAGAACCUGAUGCUCAAAAGAUACAAAAAGUGUCUAUAUUCCCAUCAACAAUCCAUUCUCCUGAUGAACUUGCCAGUAUCCUGAGGUUUGCAGCCAGGGAAGUCAGCCCAUGUUUGCUAAAUAAAUGAAUGAGAAGUGGAAGUGGAGAUGAUGGAGCAGGUACAUGGCUGAAAACCUGUUUAUGUCAGAGCCCAUUUCCUACCUUUUUACCUACCUAGAAGGCAGCCAGCACUUCUCAGUUCCAUCAUACAGAGAACAUUUUGCUGAGAUGACACCAACUUCCAGUUCUUCACAAAGAUGCAGCCCUCAGCCUUCAGCAUGAGAACAGGGACAUCAGCCUGCUUUGCCCAUGGAACUGUCUCCAGAGCCUACAACAAUGCUCAGCCUAUGAGAGGUGUCUCCUAGAAGACUUUCCAUUUCAACAAGCCUCAUUUAUAUGCAACUGGCAAUUUCUCUAAACAGAAGAAAAGGGGAGAUUUUGCCAAUCAAUUGGCUUCACCAUCCCCCAGCCCCAAAGUGUGUUUAAGAACAUUUGCCUGUGCAUGCAUGUGUUUUCCUUUGCAUCCCACAAGAGGAAGGGUCUCGCUCUGUGGCCCAGGCUGGAGAGUAUGGUGCAAUCAAGGCUCACUGCCCCAUGUUCAAGCCAUCCUCCCACCUCAGCCUCCCAGAUAGCUGGGACUAGAGACACACAUCACCACGCAUGGCUCUGGGUUACUUCAAUAAGUAUUUUUCAAUAAAUAUUUCUUCAAUAAAUAUUUAAUAACACAAAGCUCAUGAAAAUUUAUCUCUAUUAUUUCUUGGAAUAUUGUGGCCAAUUUUAGAUGGUCCAAAAUUGUGAUCUUUUCAUUUUUAUUAUAUGCUGGUUUAGAAUAGAAAUUUUCUAAUUAAAAAUAGCAUCAUCAUUAAAAUAUUCUUCUUCUAAGUCAAGAUUAUCCAAAGUAUAGCAAAUGCCAAAAUCAUUUCAUGUAGACUCUCUGAUCUCCCCUCAUCGGAUGUGUUCUCUGCUUCUGUGGUUCUGUAGGAAUAAAGAGCACUCUCUCCCUGUUAGCAAAUUUU
RNAcentral lists this long non-coding RNA (2194 nucleotides) under Homo sapiens (human). RNAcentral's name for it is "HSALNT0037318". Lineage: Eukaryota; Metazoa; Chordata; Mammalia; Primates; Hominidae. The record is from RNAcentral.